Molecule: ribosomal RNA, 1446 nt
Filed under: uncultured bacterium
Lineage: Bacteria
Description: bacterial SSU rRNA
Rfam family: Bacterial small subunit ribosomal RNA
Source: RNAcentral
GAUGAACGCUAGCGGCAGGCUUAACACAUGCAAGUCGAGGGGCAGCACAGGUAGCAAUACUGGGUGGCGACCGGCGCACGGGUGAGUAACACGUAUGUAAUCUGCCCUUAACAGGGAAAUAGCUCGGCGAAAGUCGAAUUAAUGUCCCAUAUAAUUAUUGCUUGGCAUCAGGUGAUAAUGAAAGCUCCGGCGGUUAAGGAUGAACAUGCGGGUCAUUAGCUAGUUGGUAAGGUAACGGCUUACCAAGGCAACGAUGACUAGGGGUUCUGAGAGGAAGGUCCCCCACACUGGUACUGAGACACGGACCAGACUCCUACGGGAGGCAGCAGUGAGGAAUAUUGGUCAAUGGGCGCAAGCCUGAACCAGCCAUGCCGCGUGAAGGAAUAAGGCCCUAUGGGUUGUAAACUUCUUUUGUAAGGGGCGAACCUCCCGAACGAGUUCGGGACUGACAGUACCUUACGAAUAAGCAACGGCUAACUCCGUGCCAGCAGCCGCGGUAAUACGGAGGUUGCGAGCGUUAUCCGGAUUUAUUGGGUUUAAAGGGUGCGUAGGCGGGGAAAUAAGUCAGUGGUGAAAGUCUGUCGCUUAACGAUAGGAUUGCCAUUGAUACUGUUUUUCUUGAGUAUAGUUGAGGUAGGCGGAAUGUGUAGUGUAGCGGUGAAAUGCUUAGAUAUUACACAGAACACCGAUUGCGUAGGCAGCUUACUAAAGUAUAACUGACGCUGAGGCACGAAAGCGUGGGGAUCAAACAGGAUUAGAUACCCUGGUAGUCCACGCUGUAAACGAUGAUUACUCGAUGUGUGCGAUAUAUAGUACGCGUCUAAGCGAAAGCAUUAAGUAAUCCACCUGGGGAGUACGGCGGCAACGCUGAAACUCAAAGGAAUUGACGGGGGCCCGCACAAGCGGAGGAACAUGUGGUUUAAUUCGAUGAUACGCGAGGAACCUUACCUGGGUUUGAACGUAAGAUGACAGGGCCGGAAACGGUUUUUCCCUUCGGGGCAUUUUACGAGGUGCUGCAUGGUUGUCGUCAGCUCGUGCCGUGAGGUGUCGGAUUAAGUUCCAUAACGAGCGCAACCCUUAUCGUUAGUUGCCAUCGGGUCAAGCUGGGGACUCUAACGAAACUGCCGGUGUAAACCGUGAGGAAGGUGGGGAUGACGUCAAAUCAGCACGGCCCUUACAUCCAGGGCUACACACGUGUUACAAUGGCCAUUACAAAGGGCAGCUACUUCGCGAGAAGAUGCUAAUCUCUAAAGAUGGUCUCAGUUCGGAUUGAAGUCUGUAACCCGACUUCAUGAAGCUGGAUUCGCUAGUAAUCGCGCAUCAGCCAUGGCGCGGUGAAUACGUUCCCGGGCCUUGUACACACCGCCCGUCAAGCCAUGGGAGCCGGGAGUACCUAAAGUCCGUAACCGCGAGGGACGGCCUAGGGUAAUACUGGUAACUGGGGCU